RNAcentral lists this ribosomal RNA (186 nucleotides) under uncultured bacterium. RNAcentral describes it as "partial 16S ribosomal RNA". It matches the Rfam family "Bacterial small subunit ribosomal RNA", at positions 1307 to 1500 of the family's 1533-position model. The record is from RNAcentral.
GCAACUCGACUCCAUGAAGCUGGAUUCGCUAGUAAUCGCGCAUCAGCCAUGGCGCGGUGAAUACGUUCCCGGGCCUUGUACACACCGCCCGUCAAGCCAUGGGAGUCGGGAGUGCCUGAAGUUCGUGACCNCGAGGGUCGGCCUAGGGUGAAACCGGUGAUUGGGGCUAAGUCGUAACAAGGUAAC